Molecule: long non-coding RNA, 5693 nt
Organism: Prinia subflava (tawny-flanked prinia)
Lineage: Eukaryota; Metazoa; Chordata; Aves; Passeriformes; Cisticolidae
Exons: 4
Source: RefSeq, a predicted model, not a curated record
GAUGUGCUGAGCUCCUGGAGGACGCCCUCCUAAAGCUGGAGCAGCACUUUCUCUCCAUCCUCCUUCAUGAAUGAAGCAGAGCAGAACAACAAGCUGGAUUCCUCUGCAUCUUCCCAGCUGAAAUCAGGAGAAACCUGUUUGGAAGGUGUCUCCUGCAGGUGUCUCAGAAAUGCCAGCAGUGCCAGGAAUUUCCUGCUUUUCUCAGUGUUUUGGCCAGUGCUGGUUAAGGAGGAACUUCCCAGGGCUGGGGGUAAGUGAAUGUAUAGCAAAGCAGUUCUUUUCCCAGUGGGCUGAUUAGUAAUGUCAACAGGCAGUACUAAAUUGUCUUUUGAUUUUGGGAGUGGUUUAAUUCUACUUACAGCAAAAAGUGAUUGUUCCCUUCUUUACAGUUUAUUCUUUACUUUCCUUGAUUGUUUUGCUGGUCUCUCAGGCUGUCCCAUCCCUGCAAUCUGAACAGUGACUGAGCAGAAGAAAUACUUGUUUUUAUGCCUAUAAAACCAUAACUUUAUUUUUGCCAUGUAAAUGUCACUUUGUUUUAUUACCCAUGGCUAGAAUUAAUGCAUAAUCUGGGCCUCAGUCUCAAAAUCCUGUUUUUAUUAUCAAGGGAAGGCAGACCAAACCAGUUACCUGCCUUCCAGGCACCCUUUUUUAAGGAUGUCUUGCCUAAGCAUUUCCUGUCUCAGGGAGCAAAGGAACUGCAUCCCUGGCAUUGAAAGAGGGGCUCCAGAGUGUCCCUGGGAAUGGUCUGUUCCUGUCCUUUCUGCCUGGAGCUCUCAGGACUGGCUCAGCAGUGUCCAGGAAUUCAUUCAGCACUCCAAGGGCACGGCUGUGUCUGCAGACAAGUUGGCAGCCCAGUCUGAGGGAGGACAGGGGAGCCUGGAGCAGUCUCACAUCCAUCCUUAGCACAGCCUCAGCUGUGCUCAGCUCCUUAAACCAGGGAGCUCCCUAAACCAGGGAGCGUUUGGGACAGGCAGGGUGGUGGAAAUCCCAAUUUACAGCUGCAGCUCUGUGUGCCUGUGGAGUUCAGGGGAGCUAAGCUGCAGGUUUCCUGUGUCUGAGUAUUGCUCAGCAUGAAAGCUCAAAGCCAUUUCUCUUGCUGAAUUAAAGCAUUCUGGUAAGAUGGAUGGGAUUAUGGGGUGCACAUCUGUGUCCUCCACAAGUGGGGAAAAAGGAAAUUCUCCCAGAUGGCUUUUUCACCUCUGAGCAGCCAUCUCAGUCUAAGCCAAUUGUCAGUGUUUGAGAUAGUAUUUACAGAGGAGCUUUCCUGGUGUGAGUAAUGCCAUUUCAAAUAGAUGGAUGUCAUCCAUUUCAGAUGAGCUGAUCCAGUGCAAGGGUAGCAGUGAGAAAUGUCAGUGCUACGUGCUCAGAAAUUACAGCCCAGCUGUGCUGAAAUGAAGAGCUGGGUUUAGGGGAGCGUGUGUGUUUGAAAAUGUGCAUUUCUCAGGGAUUUGGGAUUGUCAGAGCUGAACUCAGAUUGUUCCUGCAGGUGCCCAGGCAGGCAGGCUCAGAGCUGGGAGGGGACAGCUGGUGGCACAAGCUGAUGUGGAGGUGACACUGCCCAGGGAGAUGGGGACAGGGUGAGGGGCAGGGCUCUAAACCAACAGAGGAGAGGUUUGUGUCAGAUGCUGGGGAGAAAUUCUUUACUCUGGAGGUACCAAGGCACUGGAACAGCUUGCACAGAGAAAUUGUGGUUGCCCUGGUUAAUGAAAUCUUCUAUAAAUGUGGGGUGACAUUUGGAAUUCAAGGCAAAAGAAAUCAUUAAGCCAAAGCUUGCAAAUGGAAGGGAGAGAACCAAAAGGAAAGGAAAGCAUUAUGCCAAGUAAGCAGGAACUUCAGAAUGAGAUUUCUGCAUUUUUUAUGACAUGAGAGUACUGCCUAUAGCAAAAAUAAAACGUUUGUUAGCCUCAGGCUGGCACCAGGUACAAAGGACUGGUAACAUUCAGGAACUGGAAAGCCAUUAUCAAGUAUGUAAUGGAACAUCCCUGAGUUAUCUGGGUGAUAAACCUUCCUUUGGCUUCCUGCAUGAGAGAAAAGUGGAGCUGAAAUCAAGCAAAUAAACUAAUAUUCCUUAAUGUUUAAAAUAUGAUGUUAUUGGGCAGUUUAAAUUAGAAGAGGAGUGUGCCAGAGAAACACCUGGGUGGGAGAGCCAGGUGAUACCAACACAGCAGAUGAUGCUUUUAGCAGAGACAGGUGAAUUUGUGAAGCUGGUGACACCAAAUGUGGGAGUGAUUUGUAGGAAAGGCUCCUAAGCCAAGGAAGCAAAGAAAAGGAGUCCCAAGGAGUCAAUAUACUAAAAUACAACUAGACUUUUUUUAUUGUUUGUCUUUAGAACGUGGACACACAAGGUUGGAAACUACCUCCACCUUUUGAUUUUAUUUGGAAAGGAACCUGGCCCUGGCCACUGGGAGAAUGUCCAAGAGCAAGAGCUUGGGUCUUGGAGCUGUGGGUGCCCCCUGAGAGUGGGGCUGUGCCAGGGCAGGGCCCAGGAGGGCAGAGCAGCCAGGCAGCAGCAGGGCAUGUCCUGGCUGGGCUGGGAAAGACAAGAUCCAUUGGAGAAGCAAAGGGCUGUGGAAAAACAGAGCAGGACUGGGAUCCCCAGUCGGCACUGCCCAUUGCCUGCUAAUGAGCAGCCAGCUCCAGGAGGGAAGCAGAGACUCUGGGGGCAGCUUAAAAGUGAUUGCUGGGGCUUGGAGCUCUGAGAACUGCUUGCAGUUCCUCUUUCCCACCCCACUGCCCCUUUCCCACCCCACUGCCCCGCUUCAUCCCCAGUGGAACGUUUCUAUGACAUUCAGUGGGUGUGUGAGACUUUGCAAUGCCAGCAUAGUUCUUCCCAGGUUGUUCUCAGAUGGGGGAUAUUUAAUAAAACUGCUCCUUAAAAGGGUGCUGAGGUCUCUGGAUGUUUGGUGGGGAGCAGGGGGCACCUUUGGGGGCCCCUGGGGGAAUCCUGGGUGUGUGAAUGGAGGCCCAGGUGGGCUGAGCACUCACCUGUGGGCAGAGCUGAGCAGAGCAGGGGCUCUUUGGGUGAGGCUGGAGCUCACUGCUCUCACCUCUCACAGAGCUGAGCAGGGCAGGGGCUCUUUGGGCUGGGCUGGAGCUCACUGCUCUCACCUCUCACAGAGCUGAGCAGGGCAGGGGCUCUUUGGGCUCAGGCUGGAGCUCGCUGCUCUUACCUCUCACAGAGCUGAGCAGAGCAGGGGCUCUUUGGAUGAGGCUGGAGCUUGCUGCUCUCAGCCCCCAUCCUGAGCCUGCUCCAGUCUGGUGGUAAAUGGUACUGAAAUUGCCAUGUAGGACCUAAUAACACAAUAGACAAUAUAAUCACAAGCUCUGAAAGGUAAACAAAACACUCUUCUGGCAAGGUGUGACAGGGAGUUACAGUUUAUCCCUCUCUGCAGAAUCCCUGCCUGACCCAACCAUUCCCCUCAUUCACACGGUGGGGUGAUUAGAAAGCCUUUGACACAGCCCUGUCUCACACAUUACACAGCAGAUUGUUUGUUGGAGUGGCAGUAAAGGCUUGGCUGCAGCAGGGCUUGCUCUGCUCUGAGGGGAGCAGAUGGUUCACAGAGUUACAGGGUAAGAACUGAUUGUGGAUUUGCCAUCCUCUAACAGCAGCAGUGUCCAGUGAUAAUGUACUGUACUGCUUGUUACUAAGUAAAGAGCUGCUUUCUAUUGCUGUAUUGCAAAUUGGCUGCUACCAGGAGGAGUUAAAUACAUGAGUUAAAUACAACAGUAAAAUCCACGGCUGUCUGAUAUCCUGAAGCAGUGAACAAAUUGCUCAGAGGGAGCAGUGGUGAGGCACUGAAGAAUAUUCACUGAUAUUUAUCAUUUCUGUCUCUGUCAAAAAACUCCAGAAGAUCACAAUUCUCCUAAUGCCAGAGACAGUCACAGCCCUGUUGCUUUACCAUUUACUUUUCAUGCUUUUAAUACAUAAUAGCAAAAUACUGAAUAUGUUCUAUGCUAGCAGAACUCAAAAUCACAGGAUUUUUAGCAGUCACUGAGCAUACAAUGAAAUAUUCUCUUCUAUACUGUUCUCCUUUGGCUUGAAGAAAAGAAAAUUCCAGGAGGUUAAAAAUGCAGCUAAAGCAGGAGCAGUAUUAUAAUUCAAGGUGACUGUGUAGCAUGUAUAAAUAACCAUGCAGUAAAUAUUUUGCCUUUUAUAUUCCAGUAGCUUUUAACAGCUUUCCCCAGUUCAGGCUGGGGAAAGGGAGGCCAUUACAUCCUGCCAAGGUGCUUUUCACUCAAGCUGUUGUUCCUUGAAGAUAACAGACUCUUACAGGUCAGACUCUCAAAGCUGCAGCUGCUGACCCAGCUGGGAGCUGCUGCAGGGCGUGAUCCCAGUGCCUGUUCCUGGGGGCUGCAGUGCUCCAUGGAGCAGUGCUCUGGGGGAAGAGUUCCCUGAUCUGUCACUGUUAAAGGAAGGACAGAGCUGUGUUCCCUGGUGGCCCUGGGCUGCUGGACUGUGAUGUCCCAAAGGUGCCAGGUCAAAGGGCCCUGUGGGCAGCUGGCAGUGCCCCAGGGUGGGUUAGGAACCAGCUCCUCCUGCCUGGCUGGCUCUGGGAUGGAGAGGGCAGGGCUGGAACCCGCCCUGAGCCCCGCUGGAGCUGCCCUGGGCUCUGUGCACAGCACCCCCUGCAUUUCCCUGGGGGCUCCUCAGGGCUCUGUGAGGAACAGAAACACCUGCACGUCCAGCUGAGGGGCUGGCACCUGGCAUGGACCCAGUUAGUGCUGGGCACGGGGGCAUGAGUGGCAGAAAUCAUCUGUGCUUCAUCCUCUGCAGUGCCAAGGGCUGUUAGGAAGGGACUGCAAACAAGAUGAGGAAUUGGAACGUUUAUGUGUUGUGCACUGAACGGGAGAAUCCUCAAGUGGCUGAAAAAUGAUUGAAGCUUUUCCUUUUAACCCGUGGUAAAAUUUGGAUUGUCAAAACAAGUGCUGCAAAAAUUGAAGAUGGCCUAUAGCUGAGCAAUCCUUUCACUUAAACCUUGAGAAGGAGCCCAGACAAAGGACAGCAGAAGCUGAGUGCCUGCCACAGCACCGAGCUGGAUGCACAGAACUGUGCUGGGGUUAAGAAACUGCCUGAGAGAGUUUCUGCCCUGAUCUGCACACCUCAGACAUCUCUCCAAGGCACACAGCACCUCCCUGAUCUUCCGGGUUCCAAAAAUGGAAGGUGAGAACGACUUGCCCCUGCCUACGUGCAGCUCAACUCUUCGGGACUCGCAACAGGUCAAACGCUACGUGCCAGCAAAGACGUGCCAGCGAGGACUUACACCGGUCAUCACACACCUCUACGACAGUUACUCAAAGCAAGGACUAACUCUGGACAUUAGCAUUUGAAUGUGCCCGGGGACCCUUUCGGGAUUUAAUGUAAAUAAAGUUAAUGGUCGAUGAUUAGAGAAACAAUGGGAGGAAAGUUGCCGAGGGGGAAACUAAGUGUAUUUAAGUUGGGUCUUUAGGUGGGCAAGUUUGUGAACCCAGCUAGAGACAAGGCUGCCAGGUCCUGUGUCUCUGGGGUCACCCUUGGCUCUACUUUUCCCGGGAGAACUUCGGUCAAGUAAGUUUGCUGUUCGUGGGGUUCGUAUUGUUUUGUUUUUAUUGUUUGAAAUUGUUAUAAUUUGAUUCUAAAUUUUGUGAUUUGGAUGUUAAUAAACCAAACUAUUGAAUUUGGCAAUAAAUUUGUCCUGGCGUUUAUAACAAUUUGA